RNAcentral lists this ribosomal RNA (254 nucleotides) under uncultured bacterium. RNAcentral describes it as "partial 16S ribosomal RNA". It matches the Rfam family "Bacterial small subunit ribosomal RNA", at positions 524 to 776 of the family's 1533-position model. The record is from RNAcentral.
GACGAACCGUGCGAACGUUAUUCGGAAUCACUGGGCUUAAAGCGCGUGUAGGCGGGUCGGGACGUCGGUCGCUGAAAUCCCCCGGCUCAACCGGGGAAGGGGCGCCGAUACGGCCGGCCUGGAGGGACGUAGGGGGGGCUGGAACUUCCGGUGGAGCGGUGAAAUGCGUUGAGAUCGGAAGGAACGCCCGUGGCGAAAGCGAGCCCCUGGACGUCUACUGACGCUGAGGUGCGAAAGCGUGGGGAGCAAACAGG